RNAcentral lists this transfer RNA (77 nucleotides) under Syntrophotalea carbinolica DSM 2380. RNAcentral's name for it is "tRNA-Pro (CGG) (tRNA-Pro-CGG-1-1)". It matches the Rfam family "tRNA". Rfam says of the family: Transfer RNA (tRNA) molecules are approximately 80 nucleotides in length. Their secondary structure includes four short double-helical elements and three loops (D, anti-codon, and T loops). Lineage: Bacteria; Pseudomonadati; Thermodesulfobacteriota; Desulfuromonadia; Desulfuromonadales; Syntrophotaleaceae. The record is from RNAcentral. RNAcentral also lists the same sequence under 1 other name.
CGGGAUGUAGCGCAGUCUGGUAGCGCACCUGCUUCGGGAGCAGGGGGCCGCUGGUUCAAAUCCAGUCAUCCCGACCA